RNAcentral lists this ribosomal RNA (468 nucleotides) under uncultured bacterium. RNAcentral's name for it is "partial 16S ribosomal RNA". It matches the Rfam family "Bacterial small subunit ribosomal RNA", at positions 28 to 507 of the family's 1533-position model. The record is from RNAcentral.
GACGAACGCUGGCGGCGUGCUUAACGCAUGCAAGUCGAACGGAAAGGCCCUGCUUUUGUGGGGUGCUCGAGUGGCGAACGGGUGAGUAACACGUGAGUAACCUGCCCUUGACUUUGGGAUAACUUCAGGAAACUGGGGCUAAUACCGGAUAGGAGCUCCUGCUGCAUGGUGGGGGUUGGAAAGUUUCGGCGGUUGGGGAUGGACUCGCGGCUUAUCAGCUUGUUGGUGGGGUAGUGGCUUACCAAGGCUUUGACGGGUAGCCGGCCUGAGAGGGUGACCGGCCACAUUGGGACUGAGAUACGGCCCAGACUCCUACGGGAGGCAGCAGUGGGGAAUAUUGCACAAUGGGCGGAAGCCUGAUGCAGCAACGCCGCGUGCGGGAUGACGGCCUUCGGGUUGUAAACCGCUUUCGCCUGUGACGAAGUGUGAGUGACGGUAAUGGGUAAAGAAGCACCGGCUAACUACGUG